Molecule: ribosomal RNA, 673 nt
Filed under: Brevundimonas sp. B995_1
Lineage: Bacteria; Pseudomonadati; Pseudomonadota; Alphaproteobacteria; Caulobacterales; Caulobacteraceae
Description: bacterial SSU rRNA
Rfam family: Bacterial small subunit ribosomal RNA
Source: RNAcentral
AGUGGCGGACGGGUGAGUAACACGUGGGAACGUGCCUUUAGGUUCGGAAUAGCUCCUGGAAACGGGUGGUAAUGCCGAAUGUGCCCUUCGGGGGAAAGAUUUAUCGCCUUUAGAGCGGCCCGCGUCUGAUUAGCUAGUUGGUGAGGUAAUGGCUCACCAAGGCGACGAUCAGUAGCUGGUCUGAGAGGAUGACCAGCCACAUUGGGACUGAGACACGGCCCAAACUCCUACGGGAGGCAGCAGUGGGGAAUCUUGCGCAAUGGGCGAAAGCCUGACGCAGCCAUGCCGCGUGAAUGAUGAAGGUCUUAGGAUUGUAAAAUUCUUUCACCGGGGACGAUAAUGACGGUACCCGGAGAAGAAGCCCCGGCUAACUUCGUGCCAGCAGCCGCGGUAAUACGAAGGGGGCUAGCGUUGCUCGGAAUUACUGGGCGUAAAGGGCGCGUAGGCGGACAUUUAAGUCAGGGGUGAAAUCCCAGAGCUCAACUCUGGAACUGCCUUUGAUACUGGGUGUCUUGAGUGUGAGAGAGGUAUGUGGAACUCCGAGUGUAGAGGUGAAAUUCGUAGAUAUUCGGAAGAACACCAGUGGCGAAGGCGACAUACUGGCUCAUUACUGACGCUGAGGCGCGAAAGCGUGGGGAGCAAACAGGAUUAGAUACCCUGGUAGUCCACGCCG